RNAcentral lists this ribosomal RNA (581 nucleotides) under uncultured Alphaproteobacteria bacterium. RNAcentral describes it as "bacterial SSU rRNA". It matches the Rfam family "Bacterial small subunit ribosomal RNA", at positions 790 to 1368 of the family's 1533-position model. The record is from RNAcentral. Lineage: Bacteria; Pseudomonadati; Pseudomonadota; Alphaproteobacteria.
GUAGUCCACGCUGUAAACGAUGUCGGCUAGACGCUGGGCAGCAAGCUGUUCGGUGUCGGCGCUAACGCAUUAAGCCGACCGCCUGGGGAGUACGGCCGCAAGGUUAAAACUCAAAGGAAUUGACGGGGGCCCGCACAAGCGGUGGAGCAUGUGGUUUAAUUCGAUGCAACGCGCAGAACCUUACCAGCCCUUGACAUGGGGAGUUUGGGCACCGGAGACGGUGUCCUUCAGUUCGGCUGGCUCCCACACAGGUGCUGCAUGGCUGUCGUCAGCUCGUGUCGUGAGAUGCUGGGUUAAGUCCCGCAACGAGCGCAACCCUCGCCCUUAGUUGCCAUCGGGUUAUGCCGGGCACUCUAGGGGAACUGCCGGUGACAAGCCGGAGGAAGGCGGGGAUGACGUCAAGUCCUCAUGGCCCUUAUGGGCUGGGCUACACACGUGCUACAAUGGCGGUGACAAUGGGCAGCGAUCCAGCAAUGGUGAGCUAAUCUCCAAAAGCCGUCUCAGUUCGGAUUGUUCUCUGCAACUCGAGAGCAUGAAGGUGGAAUCGCUAGUAAUCGUGGAUCAGCAUGCCACGGUGAAUA